RNAcentral lists this ribosomal RNA (254 nucleotides) under uncultured bacterium. RNAcentral's name for it is "partial 16S ribosomal RNA". It matches the Rfam family "Bacterial small subunit ribosomal RNA", at positions 524 to 776 of the family's 1533-position model. The record is from RNAcentral.
UACGGGGGGGGCAAGCGUUGUUCGGAAUUACUGGGCGUAAAGGGCGCGUAGGCGGCCUGUGCAAGUCAGUUGUGAAAUCUCCGAGCUUAACUCGGAACGGUCAACUGAUACUGCUCGGCUAGAGUGCGGAAGGGGCAACUGGAAUUCUUGGUGUAGCGGUGAAAUGCGUAGAUAUCAAGAGGAACACCUGCGGCGAAGGCGGGUUGCUGGGCCGACACUGACGCUGAGGCGCGAAAGCUAGGGGAGCGAACGGG